UCAUUUUCAAAGAAAUAGAUAAAUAUAAAAAACACUUCACUUCUUUUUUAUUGCAAAGCAAAGGUUACGUCGUUCUGUUUUAGAAUAAUACAAAAUUCAAAGUGAAAAUCAUGCGUAACAAUAGUUUCCUUCGGAGCAUACGCGACAAAUUAAAAUGUUACAUGCUAUACAGUGCAUGUGUAUUAACAUCACGGCCGUGUCUCGGGCAGUAAUGGAUGUGUCAUGUGUGAACAAUAUCGACUGCAUUAUAUAAAACAACACCUUGUAUUUUCUUGGAGCACGCAAUCCCAGACUUUUUGUUUUUAUACUAAUACAUUUACAAUACACUAAUUAUUAAUACUAAGUCUCCGUAAUACGGAAGAGGUGGCAAUGUUUGAGAUCCGCUGAACCCAACUUACAAAGGGAGUGAAUGCGAGGCAGGUGUGGAAAAAUUCUAAACAGAAACAUGUUUGCCGACUGAAUUUCAACCGAGUGUCUCACGUUAGCAUGAAAGUUAUGAGCUUUGUAUUUUAUUUUCACAUUCUUUCUAAAUGCUUAAUGACAAUGCAAUGAACAAGUUUAUUAUGAUUGUUAAAAAGUUUUUAUAUUUGAAACAGAACAGAACACGUGCAUUAUACAAAAAAAUCAUAAUACAAAACUCGUUUCCUUGUCUAUACUGACACUUUUUUCUGAAAAGUUUGAGAUUAAACGUAGAAUAAAAUUUAUUAUAAUGUAACAUUAUAGUUCUCGAAAUGAAUGACACACACAUUCCAAGCGCAGAUUUAGCGUUGUGUGCGUGUAUCCAUUUACAAAUACGAAUAUUCUAUUAAGUUUUAUAUGUAUAUUUCACAUCGCCACAUAUUUUUGUGUUUUGAAGCUAGUUUCAUUUUAUUGAAUAAAUUUGUCUAAAGUCGGUUAGCCUACCAACGGUCGAUAAUAUUAUAAAAAAAUACCAUAUUUACUCACUUUUCAAAUAAUUCAUUUUUGGGAUAUUAAAACAGAUUUUCUAGGUCAGCCGUUUUCAUGGAUGACAAAAUAAUGAAAAAUAAUUAAUGACAAUGUGUGCUUAGGUAUGAAGCAGUUAUUGAUAGAAUUUCUUAGAAUAUCCUCGAAUUCAUCUUUAUGAUAAUUAUUAUAGCCAAUAAGAACACUUAAUGCCGAGAUGUAGUUAUAAUUAUACUGAAUUAACCAGUUAUGAAUUUAAAACGGUAGUAUUUGAAUUGUGCUUGUAAUACAUGUGUUUUGCAUCCAUGUGAGCGGAGCGGCUCUUCACUCUAAGGGCGCUUUGUCAUCCACUCCCUCCCGGCUCCAACUAAACAAUUGUUAAACAUUCUACCCGUUCGUACUAUAGGCUAAAAUAUAAAGAAUUUUUGGAUUUGCUUUUUACAAGGUUUAUAGAUGGGGAUAAAAUUAUUAAUGUAUAACAAUUAUAUUUUUGAGAUAUAGGUCAGAAGUAGAUAAGGUAUAGAUUUUUUUUUUUAUCAAGACCGUUUGUAUUUAUUACCGUAAACCCAAUUAAAAUACAUCUUAGUAUGAUAAAUCUACAUAUUAAUACCUAAAAAUAAAACGAUGUACCCCUUUUUAAGCACAUUACGCGCAAGGCGGAGUGUUAGUUUUGGAAUGAUUAAAGUUCAUAAUAUAGGAAGUGCAAACAAAAUAUAAUAUACAUAUGUGUUAGAAAUAUAAUCAAUCCGACAGACGAACUUCGACCACUAGACGAACAAUGGUAAAUAAAAUUGUCUGUAUAAUAAAUCAGUAUAUUUGACAUAAAAUAAAACUAACUCUAUGUGACACACAGUUUAAGUUCUACGGCGCAUGAAAUGUUUUUUGAAAUGCGUUAGCAAAAGGCAAAGUAACUCGUUGUAGUCCGAUUUUAUAUUAAAGAGCAACACAUUUAGAAUAUCACUAAGGAACUAUAGCACUCGAUUAAGACAAAGGUAUCCGGAAACCUAUCUGUGGUUUCGCGGAAUUUUCUCGAAUUUUAAAACUCACACAUACUCAGGCCUUUUAUUCCCGAAUGGGUGAACAGCAGCGCAAUUGGUGCACCCACUUUACACCGUGUGUAUUCCAUCCCAUGACAUGAUAGGGGUUGAGCCUACUACCAUAUCGGGUACAAAUUCCAUCCUCCGGUCUUAUACUGAGUAGGAAAAUACAAUAUCAUUUUGCCCGACCUGGGGAUCAAACCCGAAACCUCAGCAUUACAUUCGUACUGUAAUACAACUACGCCAUAGAGGCAAUGGAAUGCUAAGUACAACAUAAUUGUUUCCAUAUUAGGAUUCCGUGAAGAGCAAAGAUCCUUCCCGACAAACUUCGUUACUUAAUGGAAUGACAUAAGUAAGAAAUAAAAUAUAAAAAAAAUUACGAAAAAAAAGAAUCUAAGCGAGUGAUGUAAAAAAAUCGCAUCAUUAAUAAAAUAUUAUUUUACUGAAAACAACUUCAUCCUAACAAAAAUGUAACGUUAACGUAGCAACAAAAGUUCAAUUUAUCUUAUAACGUCUACACUUCAUUGACAUAGUAGGUACGUUGAUCAUACACAAAAUCUGUUCACAAAAUUACAAAUAAACUAUAUAUUUAAUAAGUUUUGUACUUGCAAGCCGUACGCA
This 2582-nucleotide long non-coding RNA is filed under the name Manduca sexta (tobacco hornworm). Its description in RNAcentral is "uncharacterized LOC115455743". Lineage: Eukaryota; Metazoa; Arthropoda; Insecta; Lepidoptera; Sphingidae. The record is from RNAcentral.